GAUGAACGCUGGCGGCGUGCUUAACACAUGCAAGUCGAACGAUGAAGCCCAGCUUGCUGGGUGGAUUAGCGGCGAACGGGUGAGUAACACGUGAGUAACCUGCCCUUAACUCUGGGAUAAGCCUGGGAAACUGGGUCUAAUACCGGAUAGGAGCGUCCACCGCAUGGUGGGUGUUGGAAAGAUUUAUCGGUUUUGGAUGGACUCGCGGCCUAUCAGCUUGUUGGUGAGGUAAUGGCUCACCAAGGCGACGACGGGUAGCCGGCCUGAGAGGGUGACCGGCCACACUGGGACUGAGACACGGCCCAGACUCCUACGGGAGGCAGCAGUGGGGAAUAUUGCACAAUGGGCGCAAGCCUGAUGCAGCGACGCCGCGUGAGGGAUGACGGCCUUCGGGUUGUAAACCUCUUUCAGUAGGGAAGAAGCGAAAGUGACGGUACCUGCAGAAGAAGCACCGGCUAACUACGUG
RNAcentral lists this ribosomal RNA (466 nucleotides) under uncultured bacterium. Its description in RNAcentral is "partial 16S ribosomal RNA". It matches the Rfam family "Bacterial small subunit ribosomal RNA", at positions 28 to 507 of the family's 1533-position model. The record is from RNAcentral.